GGUAUCUCUGUGAGAUUUCCAUAAAGUAUUAACAUGACACGGCGUUCAUCUAAUAAAUCCAAGAACUCAAGGCGAUCCAAAUCAUUUGCAUCUGCUUCCCCAUCAUAGGGGGACAUGCAGAUCGGCAAUUUUGACCUCGAUUUACAGUUCUGCCGAAGGUUAUUUCCACUACAAUCGAUAGAAUGAUAUUUAUAAGUAGUAAUGAAUUAUAAAAUUAUAAAUUAUAAAAGCAGAUUAACUAAAUAAUAACACAUAAUAAUAAGCAAAUUCUAAUAUAUAUGAAGUAGAAUAAUGUAGUACUACCAAGAUCAAUUAUCGC
Molecule: long non-coding RNA, 319 nt
Organism: Drosophila sulfurigaster albostrigata
Lineage: Eukaryota; Metazoa; Arthropoda; Insecta; Diptera; Drosophilidae
Exons: 2
Source: RefSeq, a predicted model, not a curated record